Long non-coding RNA from Prinia subflava (tawny-flanked prinia), 1216 nucleotides. RefSeq lists it as uncharacterized. The record is from RefSeq and is a predicted model, not a curated record. Lineage: Eukaryota; Metazoa; Chordata; Aves; Passeriformes; Cisticolidae. The transcript is spliced from 2 exons.
CAGGAGUUCAAGAAUUCGGCUGUGAAGUAUAUGUCCACAUCACAAAAAAAGAGAACAACAUUGUUUCCUUUCCAAAAUCGAGCACCAACAUCUAAUCCUUUGCCCCUGGAAAAUUCUUCAUUCAACUGGAUGAAGGUUUUACAUUGGUAUACUCAAAAUACUAAUGAGGUACGAUUUUAUCUGGAGAGAGUUCUGUGGACUGGCUUAUCUGCACUAUCAUUCUCCAAGUUUUAUUCUUAAUGAACACUUCAGGUCGUUAAUAAUAUAUGCAGAUUUACUGAUUUGCUAUUCACUUCAUGUUUUAUUUUUAAAAUAAGCUGAUUCAACAAUUGCUCCAAUUUUUCUUCUAGCAUAGCAAAUAAAUCUAGGGAGAUGGCAUAAUUCUUUUACUGCUAAUCUUUUACUGCCCUUGAUUCCUCCUAGUUUUUUUCAUAAAGUCUGCGUAAGCUGCAGACCAUGAACUACAUCUGGAGCUCAUCUGAAUAGUGACCCAAUAGUCCCUUGAUUUCCUCCCCCUGGUGGCCAGAGAAUAGAAAUCUGGGCCUUUGAAUGCUGCUCACCCAUUUAUUCUUACAGAAAGCCUGCUGAUGAUCUGAGUGCAUUGUUGAGUGCAGUCAUUUGCUCAGGCAGUUUUUGAACACAGGUGUUACCAAAGAAGUCUGUGUUAGAAAGGCACCCUUUCAACACUCAGCUAAACAAAAUUCUAAAUUAAAUCUGAUUUGCAUUCUCUUUAGAGAUGUGAUAGAACUGUUUCAUAUGUUUGACAUAGUGAACUGACAUUUUUCACCAUUAAAAAUACCUAAAUUAAAUUAACAAAUCUAAUAGUAUCUACUACACAACAUCUCAACUUUUUCUUUUACAUUCUCUUAUACUUACCCCAGCCAAGAAACAAUGACCCCACAAAUACCACCUCCCUGGAGAGAUGUACUACACAAUAAAAGAAGCCUUGCCAAAUAAGAAGUACUUUAAAGAGGAAUGCAAGUUGUGACCUGACUGGGGUCCCUCCUAGGGCUAUGCACACAGAGGCUGCUUCUAAUUCUGUAGUUUUGUUCUUGUUUAGUACUUCUACUACAGCUAAAAACAAGUAGCUUGGGUGAAGUCAAGGGUUCUUGUGCAAAAUGGUAAUCCAAGAAUUUAUAAUCCUAAUGUUUUAUAUUGAAGUGAACUGUAUGCAAGUUUAAUGCCUCUAAUUAAAUAUGGCUAUUCUUGAUUCAUA